RNAcentral lists this transfer RNA (75 nucleotides) under Clostridia bacterium. Its description in RNAcentral is "tRNA-Arg". It matches the Rfam family "tRNA". From Rfam's summary of the family: Transfer RNA (tRNA) molecules are approximately 80 nucleotides in length. Their secondary structure includes four short double-helical elements and three loops (D, anti-codon, and T loops). Lineage: Bacteria; Bacillati; Bacillota; Clostridia. RNAcentral also lists the same sequence under 1 other name. The record is from RNAcentral.
GCCCCUUUAGUUAAACGGAUAUAAUCUUCGCCUCCGACGCGAACGUUGCCGGUUCGAUUCCGGCAGGGGGUACCA